GAUGAACGCUGGCGGCGUGCCUAAUACAUGCAAGUCGAGCGAACAGACGAGGAGCUUGCUCCUCUGACGUUAGCGGCGGACGGGUGAGUAACACGUGGAUAACCUACCUAUAAGACUGGGAUAACUUCGGGAAACCGGAGCUAAUACCGGAUAAUAUAUUGAACCGCAUGGUUCAAUAGUGAAAGACGGUUUUGCUGUCACUUAUAGAUGGAUCCGCGCCGCAUUAGCUAGUUGGUAAGGUAACGGCUUACCAAGGCAACGAUGCGUAGCCGACCUGAGAGGGUGAUCGGCCACACUGGAACUGAGACACGGUCCAGACUCUUACGGGAGGCAGCAGUAGGGAAUCUUCCGCAAUGGGCGAAAGCCUGACGGAGCAACGCCGCGUGAGUGAUGAAGGUCUUCGGAUCGUAAAACUCUGUUAUUAGGGAAGAACAAAUGUGUAAGUAACUAUGCACGUCUUGACGGUACCUAACCAGAAAGCCACGGCUAACUACGUG
This 497-nucleotide ribosomal RNA is filed under the name uncultured bacterium. Its description in RNAcentral is "partial 16S ribosomal RNA". It matches the Rfam family "Bacterial small subunit ribosomal RNA", at positions 28 to 507 of the family's 1533-position model. The record is from RNAcentral.